UCAGAUAGAGGCGCGGAUCACAUGUAAGCCUCCGGUUGGUUCUCAAAAACCGUACACCGGACGUCGAGGGUCAUCCGCCGAAACGGAGUAUGUUUGGGCAUGCUUGCGUUGGGCAUACGGAGAAUAUCCGUAUGACUGUCACAUGGUUCAUGUGGAGUGCUAUCGGA
Molecule: non-coding RNA, 167 nt
Filed under: human gut metagenome
Description: Lysine riboswitch
Rfam family: Lysine riboswitch aptamer
About the family: Riboswitches are metabolite binding domains within certain messenger RNAs that serve as precision sensors for their corresponding targets. Allosteric rearrangement of mRNA structure is mediated by ligand binding, and this results in modulation of gene expression. This family includes riboswitches that sense lysine in a number of genes involved in lysine metabolism, including lysC.
Source: RNAcentral